AGUCUGCAAAUAAGUAUUGUCUCUUUGUUCAUAAACGAUCAGUGCUAAAACAGGCAAGUUGGGAGUCCAAAAUGCAAAAAGGAGAUUGAGAAUUCAGAAUGAUUGGGUUACUAUUGAGUGGAAUGGAGUGAAGGGAGUAACUGAAGCUGGUGUGAAGCGGAAUUAGGGCUGGUACUAAAAAUCAUUUUAAAAAUGUCGUCAGCAGUACACACAUGAUAUAAACAAUAAAAUUUAUCUUGCAAAGCAAAAUUGUAGUUCUUCACAAAAGAGAACCACAAGGCAAUCAAGUGGAGGUUUUUGAAGUAAUAAAGACUUCAAACUCUAUGGCUGUAUGGUUGAAUUGGACAAAGGACACUUGAGCUGGAUACAUACUAAUCAAUGUGUGGAGACUAUAUACGAGGUCUUGUAUUCCCGUUCAGAUGAGUGGGGACUUGCUGUAAAGGAGUUACAAGUCCUCUGAGAAGUCAGAAGUACCCCCAAGUCUGCCCUCAACAAUGGGGAAGACAUCAAUAAAGUGUAGGAAACUGAAAGAACCUGUCAAUUAACGUCAACAGUCCAAGGAGCUUAGUUAUCAAUAAAACUCAUCGAGAGCUCCAGGCAUUCACACAUGAACCAGGACACGCUGUAAGCACUCAUGAGGGUGCAUGCAGAUGGACCACCACCUAUGAUUACAAGGCGGAAGGGGCUAUCCACCACUGGAUGGACUGUGGACCUGGGACACGCCACCUCGCAGGCCACAAGAUAUCGUCAGCUACUGAUUGGAAAUGAUAGUGACUGUGUUCUAUAACUAUAACUGUGUACUGAGUGCAGUUUAAUAAGACUAUUUGUUAUUGGACUGAAUUAAAACAUUGUGUCACUGUGUUAUGCUGUUGAUAAGUGAUUUGUUAUGUCUACCUGUCACAUCAGACUACUUGUUGUAUUAUGUGUAUGCAA
Molecule: long non-coding RNA, 933 nt
Organism: Dreissena polymorpha
Lineage: Eukaryota; Metazoa; Mollusca; Bivalvia; Myida; Dreissenidae
Exons: 3
Source: RefSeq, a predicted model, not a curated record